UGGGAACGAGCAGACACUCGUGGAGGCGUCA
This 31-nucleotide non-coding RNA is filed under the name Homo sapiens (human). The record is from RNAcentral. Lineage: Eukaryota; Metazoa; Chordata; Mammalia; Primates; Hominidae.